AGGAUGAACGCUAGCGGCAGGCCUAACACAUGCAAGUCGAGGGGUAGAACACUUCGGUGUUUGAGACCGGCGCACGGGUGCGUAACGCGUAUGCAAUCUACCUUAUACAGGGGAAUAGCCCAGAGAAAUUUGGAUUAAUGCCCCAUGGUAUUACGAAAUCGCAUGGUUUUGUAAUUAAAGUUCCAACGGUAUAAGAUGAGCAUGCGUCCCAUUAGUUAGUUGGUAAGGUAACGGCUUACCAAGACGAUGAUGGGUAGGGGUCCUGAGAGGGAGAUCCCCCACACUGGUACUGAGACACGGACCAGACUCCUACGGGAGGCAGCAGUGAGGAAUAUUGGUACAAUGGGCGCAAAGGCCCUGAACCCAGCCAUCGCCGCGUGCAGGAAGAAGCAUCUAUGGUAGUGUAAACUGACUUUUAAUACAAGGAAGAAACAACUCUACGUGUAAGAGUUCUUGACGGUUA
Molecule: ribosomal RNA, 463 nt
Filed under: uncultured soil bacterium
Lineage: Bacteria
Description: bacterial SSU rRNA
Rfam family: Bacterial small subunit ribosomal RNA
Source: RNAcentral